GGGGGCGAAAACAACUUGUU
Molecule: unclassified non-coding RNA, 20 nt
Filed under: Chlamydomonas reinhardtii
Lineage: Eukaryota; Viridiplantae; Chlorophyta; Chlorophyceae; Chlamydomonadales; Chlamydomonadaceae
Description: small RNA Cre_1934
Source: RNAcentral